This 64-nucleotide transfer RNA is filed under the name Longustitermes manni. Its description in RNAcentral is "tRNA-Arg". The record is from RNAcentral. Lineage: Eukaryota; Metazoa; Arthropoda; Insecta; Blattodea; Termitidae.
AAGUGAGAAGCAAACAUUGCAAUCAGUUUCGACCUGAUCCUAGAUAAAAUUUUAUCCUUACUUU